This 218-nucleotide non-coding RNA is filed under the name Desulfosporosinus orientis. RNAcentral's name for it is "T-box sequence". It matches the Rfam family "T-box leader". Rfam says of the family: Uncharged tRNA acts as the effector for transcription antitermination of genes in the T-box leader family. T-boxes are found upstream of many aminoacyl-tRNA synthetase genes and some amino acid biosynthetic genes usually in Gram-positive bacteria. The record is from RNAcentral. Lineage: Bacteria; Bacillati; Bacillota; Clostridia; Eubacteriales; Desulfitobacteriaceae.
UCAAACCCUAAGAAUGUGAGGAAUAGUGUAAAUUACCGUCCAGAGAGAAAGGCCAUAGCUGGAAGGCUUUUUCGGGAAAACACUAAAGGUCGCGCAGGAGGGGCAGAGAAGAACAGAGUAUUCUCUGACGGAAAAAACCCGUUAUUGUUUAACAAGCGCUGAGAAAGGCUGUGUUUCUCAGAAUAAAGGUGGUACCACGGAAGCUUUUCGUCCUUUGC